UACGUAGGUGACCAGCGUUGUCCGGAUUUACUGGGCGUAAAGAGCGCGCAGGCGGUCGUUCAAGUCGGGUGUGAAAGCCCCCGGCUCAACUGGGGAGGGUCAUUCGAUACUGAUCGACUCGAAGGCAGGAGAGGGAAGUGGAAUUCCCGGUGUAGUGGUGAAAUGCGUAGAUAUCGGGAGGAACACCAGUGGCGAAGGCGACUUCCUGGCCUGUUCUUGACGCUGAGGCGCGAAAGCUAGGGGAGCAAACGGG
This 253-nucleotide ribosomal RNA is filed under the name uncultured bacterium. RNAcentral's name for it is "partial 16S ribosomal RNA". It matches the Rfam family "Bacterial small subunit ribosomal RNA", at positions 524 to 776 of the family's 1533-position model. The record is from RNAcentral.